AAAUGUUCACAAUAAAGUGAUAAAUGAUCAUGUUCGAUAUAUCAAUACAUAUAAAGUUCCUUUUACAAUUAAAAAUUAAUUGAUAAGAGAAUAUCCUGAUUUAAACAGGCAAGGAUAGUAAAUAAAAACGCAACUUCGAAAAGGAAAAUAUAAAUAAUUAUGGUAAUUUUUGUUUUCAUUUAUGUAUAUAUUUGUAUAACUAAAUAACUACACAUAUAUAAAUAUUUGAAAUGCUUAAAUAAUGGAAGAAACCUAAAUAUUUGGGUUUCGAGUGAGAUUAAAACUAGUUAGUACAUACAUUUUACAUAUAUGUAUAUGCAUAUAUAAUUGUCCAAUGAUGCUAUGCACGAUUUUUCAAGCACCUCCGAUAAUCUACAAAAAGGUAUUCCUAAUAAAAAUUGAGUUCCCUAAUAAGUUAUUGUAGAAAAUUAAUUGUAUAUUGUCCUGAUGACCAUUCAAAUAAUGGCUAAGUAAACCUAUAUGGAUUCGUCUAAAAAAAUGUUACGUUGACAUUUUAUAGAGUGAAAAACUUUAUGAUAAUAUCUACUAUCCCAAUUUGUUAAGACACACACCUGUGAUUUAACGUCUUGAUAAACCUUUCAUACGUUAAUGUUUCUAUAAGUCCGAUCUAGGUAUCUGAAUUCAAGGGUGAGUUGCAUAGAUUAUAUAUAUGUUGGGUUCACAUUAUGAUUAGGGUCAGGGGCGUGAAACGAAUUUCCGUUUGGAUUAAACAUUGUUGUUAUGCAAUAGAGAAGAUAUUUACUAGUACAAAUAUGAGUAUUGGAGAAUUUUACAGGUAACCGUGGUAAUUAAAUACUCGAGAUGCUAAUGGCAAUGAUCCUAGGUCCAAUAACGAAUCCGCGGUCAACGGGAUAACAAAAUAUGCUUUCUUCCAAAGUCCAAAUUGUACUCAACUUACUUGUCCACAGUACAAGUAUUACUGAACUAACUCUUUGUUAAAACGUGGAAUAUCCACCGAGCGUAAAGACGCUAAGUAACUCGCUAAUGCGACCUCACGGGGGAAUGACUUUCCGUCACGAUGAUGCUGCAGAGGAAAACUAUGAUGGGGUGUGUCUCAGGACACGAGAUCAUCGGAUUCGUCGAGGAAAGCCUUCGUUCGAAAAGUGAGGGAAAUGGACGUUCCUGUCAAUUGGUUAAUUUCUAUGUUGGUGGUUGAAAGAGGAUGCUAACCGCCCUUGAGGGAAAGUUGCUAGCGGGAAGCGUCGUUCGCGGGAAAAGCAGAUUUCCCGUAUCUUUCCGUAGUAGGUGAUAGAUUUAAGGACUGUUAGGAUAAAGACUGUUUGUCCGUUUGAAGGACCUUAGUUAACUAAAUCCUAAGAUUUAUAGUGGGUCCUCAGGCUAGCUGAACAUAUACUGUGGAGAUGCAUUGACAUCUGGUAAUCAUCUUGCCGAAGAAUAGGGUCUGUAUGUGGUGAGCCACGAGAAAAAGACCGUUGAAAUGUUUACUGUCAACUGCCGCUACAACUAUUUCUUUUUAAGGAGAGCUAUAUGAUUACUCCAUACCUUUGUUAGGUAAAACGUUCAUCCCGUGACCGCGGCUACGUUUAGCCACUGGUUGUGUCACUUCGAGCCCAAACUCAUUACCACAAAUCUCGUACAAUUAUAAUCGGGUUAAAUCACAAAGACUAAAAUAUUGGGGAUUUUCCCAAGAAUUCCAAAGUGAAGGCCCCGGUGUCCUUUCAUCUCCGACAUAUAUAAUAUAAAAAUAUUAUAUCUCACAAAUAAUUCAGUAUAUGUAUACACAGAGUUAUCCACUUAACUCGGAACCUGUACAUUUACUAUUAUAGUCGGAUGUCGUUCGCCAUGUAUAACUUGUUGCUAGAAGUAUAAUUAGUUGUGAACACAGAGCGGUUUGCUUGCCGCCGAAGGACUUUAAAUUUAACGUCACAAUAAGAAGACGAUUGCUGAGAAAGCGAGUCUUGCCUUUCGAGGAUGUGGCCAUAUUCGGUAUUAUUUUAAUUGUAAGAAUCUUAACAAUACAACCAAAACAAUCUUAUAAGAAUGAUAUAAAAAAUAUAAAAAUUUUUCCUACUUCGACGAUUUAUAAGUAAUUGCAUAAUCGCCGGAACAUAUUACGGGGAAUACCGAGGGAACUGCUUCGAGCGAUCAGUUUCAUCUCUAACAUAAACAACUUCCGUCGUAUUCCGACUAAUCCGAACGGACCCAGCCAUUACAAAUUCAUUUCUAUCAUAUUCAUAUUUAAAUUCAUUUUUAUUUUUCAAACUGGCCUGCCUAAUAUGAAUUCUAUGAGGCAUCUUGAUGUAUUUUAAUCAGUUUCCUUAUUUUUUAUUCUUACAUUCAACGUAUUUGUAGCAGAGUGAUCAAAAAUUAGGUAAUAGCAUUCAAUUUGUAGAAAAUGAUCGUUAAUAAAUUUUGAGUUUUGAAAUACGACGUAGAAGAAAAUGUUUAAUACGUUAAAAAUAAAAAUUACCAAACAAAAUAGAGAAAGACCUCAAUGUUCGUAAGAAUAUGAACAAUUUCAUUGUAAUUCGCUAAUAACUUUGCCAGCUGAAUGCAACAUUAAAUAAAAAAUAAAUUAAGAACAUAAAAUCAUCAAGUAUUUCUCAGCGAUUUUCUUCUCCUUAUUGUGACAUAAAAUUUAAAGUCCGGCGAGACCCUUUAUGUGGUCUCACCUAAUUAUUCUUUUAUCAACAACUCAUAAAUGGCGAACAUCUUAUUGUAGUAGUAAGCGUACACGUUUAACAACACCGUAAUUAUUCUCAUGCAUUGUUGCGACCGCAGGUUCUGGGCUAAGUGCAUAAUCCUAUAUGUGUGUAUUAAAUAUUAUCUCUCGUAACACACUAUCAAGUUCUAUAGAUAAGAUUUAAGAAUGUUUAGUUUUCAUGUAAAAAAAUCUGAGAAAUAUAUCAAUUAAUCUAGUCCUCAAUAUUGUUAAAUUAUAGUUUCAUUUUUCCAUAUCUCUCAAAUCUUCAAUUUCAACAUUGGAUUGAACACAUUUCUCGUUGCUAAGAUAAAAUAUAUUAAUGUAUGCACAUACAUUUUAUGUUCACUCCAUUAGUGAAAACUUGAAUUCAAAGAUUAGAAUAAGCCAAGACCAAAGUCUUUAUAAUUUCUUAGUACUCAUUCCGCGACAACUUUCUCUUCGGCAAAGGUAUCGGCUUGAAGAUUCGCGAGACUCCCUUCGCUGUUCAGCUUUCAGCGAUUUAGCGACAGAUACUUAGGAAAAUGAUGUCGAGCUGUGUAAAUUCACAGACGUUCCGCGCACUAGAGAGAAACAUCAUCAUUAAGGGGAAAAAACUUUCGCUAAUUGCUAAAAGGCUGACAUUUCAGUUCUGGGAAAACUCUCGAGAUAAGCAGAAAGUACGAAGUGAACGAAACGUUCCAUGGAUGUAAUUGCGGUGAAAAUUCAGCUUUUCUUCUAAUUUCUUUUUCCAUUCCUUUUUCGCCUUUUUUGUCCCUUUCUGUUUGUAAUACUACUAUGAAACUUUGUAUCUCGGAUAGAUCAUAAGUGUUUUUGUCCGUCGACCGUUUGAUUUUUGUAAAAUGAAAAGGC
Molecule: long non-coding RNA, 3535 nt
Organism: Bombus pyrosoma
Lineage: Eukaryota; Metazoa; Arthropoda; Insecta; Hymenoptera; Apidae
Exons: 3
Source: RefSeq, a predicted model, not a curated record